Molecule: ribosomal RNA, 443 nt
Filed under: uncultured soil bacterium
Lineage: Bacteria
Description: bacterial SSU rRNA
Rfam family: Bacterial small subunit ribosomal RNA
Source: RNAcentral
CACGAGGGGAACGCGAAGAACCUUACCAAGGCUUGACAUGGAUUUCUAAGCACGUGAAAGCGUGUGACCCUUCGGGGGACUUCCACAGGUGCUGCAUGGCCGUCGUCAGCUCGUGUCGUGAGAUGUUGGGUUGAGUCCCGUAACGAGCGCAACCCUUGUGACUAGUUGCCAGCACGUAAUGGCGGGAACUCUAGUCAGACUGCCCAGAUCAACUGGGAGGAAGGUGGGGACGACGUCAGGCCAGUAUGGCCCUUACGCCUUGGGCUGCACACGUACUACAAUGCCCAGCACAAUGAGAACCGAUGCCGCGAGGUGGAGGAAAUCUGUAAAACUGGGCUCAGUUCGGAUUGGAGGCUGCAACUCGCCUCCAUGAAGUUGGAAUCGCUAGUAAUGCCGUAUCAGCUACGACGGCGUGAAUACGUUCCCGGGUCUUGUACACACGC